CUUCUAACUAAAAUGGGAUAAACACGUCGAUGAUUACAAUAAUUUUAACUAAAAAUAAUUUAAUAUUUUUAAAAGAACCAAAUUUUAAAUAAUUAAUUUCAGUCAAAAUUUUAUUUUACUAACAUUUCAAAGAAAGAUUAUUAUUUACGCACAGACAUUUAUAUAGAAUACCUAAAUAUAGGCUACUAAUAACUAAUGUAUCUAUCAAAUAACACGUUACAAUAAUAUUAGUAGUUUUACUUUCCUAUCUAACAUUUUUUUUUUCUAUUCAUCAUUUUAACAUGCGUGUUGGACUAAUUCUUUUUUUUAUGAAUGUUACUACUGUCUACUGUGAUGGUCGUUGCCCAAAUUAGAUAGCAGUCUUGUAAAGUAUUCGAAUACAUACUGUGAAUACGUUUUUUUUUGUAUUUUAUUUUUAAAUUACUUGAUUAUUUUUUCCGAAAAAUAACCCCGAUUACAGCUAGGUAGCUUUUCCUUAUAUUUUGAUCGAUAACAAAAAUUAGUGAAAUAAGCAACUAUAAAUAUUUUAAGUUAUAACUGACUGCGAACAACGCUGAUGAGAAAUUAUUAAUUCUUGUUCACCUUAGAUAUACCAGCCAAUGUUAGGUAUUUGAUACUAUUGGCUAAAUUGUAUUAUCAUUUAUCAGGAGUUAUUUAUUUUUAGACCGUACAUUAACAUAUUUGUUUAUAUUAUUUACCACGCAACACGCAUUUGGUUUUAAUUUUAAAAAAUAUACAUGUGUAUAUAAUAUAUUAAAAACUAUU
Molecule: non-coding RNA, 765 nt
Organism: Cinara cedri
Lineage: Eukaryota; Metazoa; Arthropoda; Insecta; Hemiptera; Aphididae
Source: the annotation of a GenBank genome assembly